RNAcentral lists this long non-coding RNA (3130 nucleotides) under Strigops habroptila (Kakapo). RNAcentral's name for it is "lncRNA (ENSSHBG00005010033.1)". Lineage: Eukaryota; Metazoa; Chordata; Aves; Psittaciformes; Psittacidae. The record is from RNAcentral.
AUAUAGUUGUAUCUGAUAUAAAAAAAGAAUACAAUGCCACAGCUUGGAGAUUUUUGGUGCUACAGAAACUGUUUUCAUUUCUGCUCUUGUUCACUCUACAUGCAUUAUCUUUGGGGAAACUUCAGGCAAAGUGGAGACCAACACAUACAAGAGGACUGGAAAGAGCAGAUCUAAGUUGAAUAUUUUUAAACAGGCAACCUUUUUUAUUUUUUUUUUUUUUCCAGUUUUUCUCUUCUCUGGGGAACGGACAAAAAAAUCUGUUCUAAAGAAGGCAAUGAUGCAUUGUGGUAGGAAUCUUGAGUAACUGGAUGUACAGUAAUUUGAAGAUGAGGCUCUCUAGAACUGCCUUUAAUGUGCCUUUUAGUCAAUUGAGAAAGAUAAGGCUAAUCAAUUAGUUUGGAUUAUAGCAAGUGGCAAUUUUAGAAAGCUGUCUUCAGAAUGAAGAUCUCCAAAAGGAUGAUUUUAUUCUCUUCAUUGGAUGGCAACCAGUAUUAUGGUUCUAUAAUGCCUGUCUUGCUCUACAGAACUAAACUAAGACACACUGAAAAAGCCACAUACUUUACCAAAACGGUGAAAUUCCUUUUUUCCUUGGUAUAUAUUUGUUUUAGAAACAAGUUACACAGUGAAACUCUUCUCUGUUGUUAAAAAUUAAGCAUUUUCCCACCAUCCCCCUGCUUUCCAUUUUCAGUUCUUUAAGAAAAACAAGUUUAAUACUGGUAGGUUUCUUUUUGAAGUUCUGUGUUUGUGAUAUAGCUUGGACUGCAGUGCAGGUAAGAAGACGCUAUAGUCGGUUGAAGUCCUGGAGCCCAAGCUCACUUGAAAAUAAAACUUAAACUAGGGUUCACAACUUGGUCCAUGCAAAGCAUUGUUAAUGUUGGAGGUUUGGAGGACAGCCUUUUGAAUCGAUCUUUGGACCAAAGUUCUCUGGGUCUGAAUUGCAUCGUUCAAAACCCUUCUCUUCUGCCAACUGGAGGGAACAGGCUAGGCAGUUUCAAGAAAAAUGUGUUUUAUCACAAGCUCAGUAUUAAAACAUUACCUGGGCUGAUUUAUUUCAAACCUAUGUGGAAAGUGGUUUAGAGAGGUUGGCUGGCGUUGCCAUUGUUAACCAUUCAUUGUGACUGUCCCUUACGUAGCUGCGGAAGUGUCUUUCCGGAAAUAUGCAACACAGUGUGAUUAGUUUGUAAUUAGAGAAAACAGACUACUGCAGAGAUACUGAGCUACCUCAGCUUUUUGUAUUUUAGUUACCAACAGUGUUUAUGGAGGACUGUAAUCACUCUGCUCCCAUUUACAAGCUGAAGCUAAGGUAUUUGUCUCCACCUCUAUGGCUAAUAGUAAUAUAGUGCUGCAGAGAAACAAAACAUGGGCCUUGGGCUACUGCAGUAAUCCAAAGUGCUUUGUCCAUUCUGGUUAAACAUAAUUGUUAGAUCUUUUUCUCCCCAGAAUGCCACUGUUUGUCUUUAUAGCUAAUGGCAGAGAAAGGUUUUAAGCCUUCAUGUACAUCUAGUUACACCUUCUAAAUGCAACCCAUGCAGAAACACUGUAUUUUUCAGGUGGGAAAGUGCGAUUAAAACCAACAAAAACAAGCAGAAAACACAUUUUAAAUGAGAUUCUUUGAUCUCAGAUUUGAUUAUGGGAUUUUUUUUCCACGUUUCAUUUAGUAUUUAUUAGCAUCAUACCUGUUUGAGAUAUUUUUGUGUCUGGUACAUUAACAGCAUUUUGUAUUUUGAUGGAAAUUGUUACAAACUUUAAGAUUUGAUUAAAUAAAAUGUAGCAGAUCUUUUGUAGCAAGUUUCUGAUAAAAGGGGUUUUUGCAAGUCUCAGGUUCUUGCUGCAGAAUUUUUUAAAAAUAUUUAUUCCAGUUUCACUUACUCAAAGAAGUUUUUGUUCAAGUAACAGCAGCACUUGUGGAAGAUAAAACCGCAUACGUUUUUAAGAUGAUAAAUUUAUAUGAAUUUAAAAAGUUGAAAAUUUUUGUCACCAGUGAGUGUAAAAAGCAAGUUUAAGGCUAAUGCCUAGCAUUAAAAAUGGUUCUAAAAGGUCAGGUUUCUAAAGGAAAAUUUUUACUGUCAGUUGUUGAUUGGGAAAAAAUUGUGAUGAGACAACUUUACUAAUGGAGGAGCUGCCAUGUUGUUUUAGAGAAGAGUAGCUGAUAUCAGAUGUUCUACUGGACAGCUUACCUAAAAUGAUAUGCUCGCCUUCUUAGCCCAAAUAACCACACUUCAGUUCUUGUUUUCCUUUACAGAUGUCUGGUGGUUAUAGAGUUAAACAGCUGUUAAACUAUCCAUGUGGUCUAAACUUGUUUACUCUUUGUAUGUUUUUAAUUUUUUUUUGCCACAUAGCACUGGCAAGAGUUUGUACAAAUUGACCUCUCUUCCUUGUUUCUUGUUGUGAAAAUUGCAAAUAAACUCCUGUGUGAGUCCUUGUGCUGGGGUCAGUGAAAUGUGGCCAGCCAGAAGGAAGGAGGCUUCUCUGGGGGGCUGACGGGGCUGUCUUGGAGAUAAUAGAAUUGCUCUUGGGUGAAGUUGAUGGCUAUGGAGUUAAUUGUAUUUGCAAGCUUGAAUCUCACCUGUGAUUAAUUUUUUUGUUUUGUUUUGUGUCCUCUGUAUUGUUACUUGAUUUUCUCAUAUGCCAAUGUAUUUAUAGGAUUACUGUUUUUUUGUAAUACCUUGUCUUCCUUUUUUUUGGUUUGUUGGUUUUAUUUUUCCAUUAAGAUGAUGGGUCAGCUCGGGUUUAACCUUUACCUGAAGGCAUGUCCUGCAGCUGAUAGUCAUUUAUUUUGUUUUUAUUUUAUUUUGUAAUCACAACUUAAGCUUGAAUUUGGGCUUGUACUUGCAUCUUUUGUAUCUUGUACAUUGGGUUAUUUAGACAUUGGGGAGUCCUGUUUGGUUUCAUUAACGUGUGUCUACUUUGUGGAUUAAGUAGACUUCCUUCAUCAACUAUGGUAUAUUUUGGAUUCUAUAGUUUAUUCGGAACUGUGUUUAAAUCGAUGUUUUGCAUUUUGACUUCAUUUUAUGUUAGUUUGAAGUAAGUUAUUUAAUUUUUUUGAACUUCUGGAAAUUUUGAACAUUUUACUGUAAUUUGUAAUAUAACUGCUGUGAAAUACUUGAAUAAAGAUGACAAGAAAACACAA